UGCCAAUGGAAAAAAGUGACCUGAAAUACAGAUCUCAGACCUGACAUGAUGAAAAUCUAAUGCCACAGCUGUUGUCUCUCAGAACUGUCACUCAUCAUGUUUUAAUUUCACAGUUUUGAUUUAAUCUUUUCUAAAUACAGCACUGGAUAAAUACAGAACAAGAUAACAAGAGUUCCCAGCAAAGGAGCCAGUUGAAUGAGAGAGAGAUCCAAGAUGGCUGAUCACUAACAGCUCAGGAUUGUAGCUCCCAGUGAAAGCUCAGAGAACG
Molecule: long non-coding RNA, 268 nt
Filed under: Callithrix jacchus (white-tufted-ear marmoset)
Lineage: Eukaryota; Metazoa; Chordata; Mammalia; Primates; Cebidae
Description: lncRNA (ENSCJAG00000086355.1)
Source: RNAcentral